GCUUGCUUUUGAUGGGCGUCGACCGGCGCACGGGUGAGUAACGCGUAUCCAACCUGCCCACCACUUGGGGAUAACCUUGCGAAAGUAAGACUAAUACCCAAUGACGUCUCUAGAGGACAUCUGAAAGGGAUUAAAGAUUUAUCGGUGAUGGAUGGGGAUGCGUCUGAUUAGCUUGUUGGCGGGGUAACGGCCCACCAAGGCGACGAUCAGUAGGGGUUCUGAGAGGAAGGUCCCCCACAUUGGAACUGAGACACGGUCCAAACUCCUACGGGAGGCAGCAGUGAGGAAUAUUGGUCAAUAGACGAGAGUCUGAUCCAGCCAAGUAGCGUGCAGGAUGACGGCCCUAUGGGUUGUAAACUGCUUUUAUAAGGGAAUAAAGUGAGUCUCGUGAGACUUUUUGCAUGUACCUUACGAAUAAGGACCGGCUAAUUCCGUGCCAGCAGCCGCGGUAAUACGGAAGGUCCGGGCGUUAUCCGGAUUUAUUGGGUUUAAAGGGAGCGUAGGCCGGAGAUUAAGCGUGUUGUGAAAUGUAGAUGCUCAACAUCUGCACUGCAGCGCGAACUGGUUUCCUUGAGUACGCACAAAGUGGGCGGAAUUCGUGGUGUAGCGGUGAAAUGCUUAGAUAUCACGAAGAACUCCGAUUGCGAAGGCAGCUCACUGGAGCGCAACUGACGCUGAAGCUCGAAAGUGCGGGUAUCGAACAGGAUUAGAUACCCUGGUAGUCCGCACGGUAAACGAUGGAUGCCCGCUGUUGGUCUGAAUAGGUCAGCGGCC
Molecule: ribosomal RNA, 774 nt
Filed under: uncultured bacterium
Lineage: Bacteria
Description: bacterial SSU rRNA
Rfam family: Bacterial small subunit ribosomal RNA
Source: RNAcentral